RNAcentral lists this ribosomal RNA (461 nucleotides) under uncultured bacterium. Its description in RNAcentral is "bacterial SSU rRNA". It matches the Rfam family "Bacterial small subunit ribosomal RNA", at positions 918 to 1379 of the family's 1533-position model. The record is from RNAcentral.
GGCCCGCACAAGCGGAGGAACAUGUGGUUUAAUUCGAUGAUACGCGAGGAACCUUACCCGGGCUUGAACUGUAGGCGAACGAUUCAGAGAUGAAGAGGCCCUUCGGGGCGCCUAUGGAGGUGCUGCAUGGUUGUCGUCAGCUCGUGCCGUGAGGUGUCGGCUUAAGUGCCAUAACGAGCGCAACCCUUGUUCGUAGUUGCCAUCGGUUAAAGCCGGGCACUCUGCGAAGACUGCCUCCGUAAGGAGUGAGGAAGGUGGGGAUGACGUCAAAUCAGCACGGCCCUUACGUCCGGGGCUACACACGUGUUACAAUGGCAUGUACAGAAAGCGGGGUGUAUGCAAAUACGCUCGAAUCCCUAAAACAUGUCUCAGUUCGGACUGGGGUCUGCAACCCGACCCCACGAAGCUGGAUUCGCUAGUAAUCGCGCAUCAGCCAUGGCGCGGUGAAUACGUUCCCGGGC